AGAGAGAGACAUGCGCGCAUAUCAAUAAGCGGAGGAAAAGAAACUAACUAGGAUUCCCUCAGUAACGGCGAGUGAAGCGGGAAGAGCUCAAAUUUGAAAUCUUAAAGGUUUCCCUUGACGAAUUGUAGUUUAAAGAAGUGUUUUCUGUUGGAGGUUUUGGUAAAAGUUCUUUGGAAUAGGACAUCAUAGAGGGUGAGAAUCCCGUAUUUGACCAUUAUUUCCAGCUUUGUGAUACACUUUCAAAGAGUCGGAUUGUUUGGGAAUGCAGUCCAAAAUGGGUGGUAAAUUUCAUCUAAAGCUAAAUAUUGGCGAGAGACCGAUAGCGAACAAGUACCGUGAGGGAAAGAUGAAAAGAACUUUGAAAAGAGAGUUAAACAGUACGUGAAAUUGUCAAAAGGGAAGCGUUUGACACCAGUGUUGUUUUCUCGAAAAUCAAUUAAAAAAGGCAGGAUUUUGUGUUGUAUUGACUUUAUCAGCUUUCUGCACUCUUUUCUUGUCUUUUUUAAUGCACUUUUCGUUUAACAAGUCAACAUCAAUUUCUUUUGUUGUAAAAGGGUCAUUGGAAGGUGGCUUUCUUUUCGGAGAAAGUGUUUAUAGCCUUUGGCCUCUGCAAUCGGAGAGAUUGAGGUCUGCAGCGUAGAUCCUUCGGGGUUAGAUACAUUUGUGCUAAGUUAUAGCCUUUCAUAGACAACUUGUUGACUAUGAUCAGUCAUGUAGCUUACUCGCUUAUGCUAUUUUACCUACGCUUAGGAUGUUGAUGUGAUACUGCGAGCA
This 774-nucleotide ribosomal RNA is filed under the name uncultured Neocallimastigales. RNAcentral describes it as "partial large subunit ribosomal RNA". It matches the Rfam family "Eukaryotic large subunit ribosomal RNA", at positions 23 to 639 of the family's 3401-position model. The record is from RNAcentral. Lineage: Eukaryota; Fungi; Neocallimastigomycota; Neocallimastigomycetes; Neocallimastigales.